This 252-nucleotide ribosomal RNA is filed under the name uncultured bacterium. Its description in RNAcentral is "partial 16S ribosomal RNA". It matches the Rfam family "Bacterial small subunit ribosomal RNA", at positions 524 to 776 of the family's 1533-position model. The record is from RNAcentral.
UACGUAGGAUGCGAGCGUUAUCCGGAUUUAUUGGGUUUAAAGGGUGCGUAGGUGGGCUUUUAAGUCAGCGGUAAAAAUUCGGGGCUCAACCCCGUCCGGCCGUUGAAACUGGGGGUCUUGAGUGGGCGAGAAGAAGGCGGAAUGCGUGGUGUAGCGGUGAAAUGCAUAGAUAUCACGCAGAACCCCGAUUGCGAAGGCAGCCUUCCGGCGCCCUACUGACGCUGAGGCACGAAAGUGCGGGGAUCGAACAGG